UCUCACUAGAGCUUCCAGCAAAGCAUGGCUGUCCUGGUGCUGCUCCUCUGCCUGGUGACAUUUCCAAGUUGUGUCUUUUCCCAGGUACAGCUGAAGGAGACAGGACCUGGCCUGGUGAGGCCCUCACAGACCCUGUCUCUCACCUGCACUGUCUCUGGGUUCUCAUAACCAGCUAUGAUAUAAGCUGGAUUCGCCAGCCUCCAGGAAAGGGUCUGGAGUGGAUGGGAGUAAUAUGGAGUGAUGGAAUAACAAAGUACAGUUCAUCUCUCCAAUCUCGAAUCACCAUCAGCAGGGACACCUCCAAGAGUGAAGUCUUCUUAAAAUUGAACAGUGUGCAUAUUGAAGACACAGCCAUAUAUUACUGUGCCAGAAACACAUGUGCACAUCCCUACUGCCUCCAACUGUCACCAGCACUUUCCAUAGCAUCUGAGUUCUAUGAAAAAGACAAGGACAAGAACACUCUGUACCUGGAAAUAGGCAGUCUGAGGUCUGAGGACACAGCCAUGUAUUACUGUGCAAAGUACACAGCUAGAGCUCAGAUGCAAACCUCCCUGCAGGUUCCUAAGGACCAGCAGGGGGCACUAAGUUCACACACAGCUCUGGGUCACAGUUGA
Molecule: non-coding RNA, 614 nt
Organism: Arvicola amphibius (Eurasian water vole)
Lineage: Eukaryota; Metazoa; Chordata; Mammalia; Rodentia; Cricetidae
Source: the annotation of a RefSeq genome assembly